RNAcentral lists this ribosomal RNA (898 nucleotides) under uncultured bacterium. RNAcentral describes it as "bacterial SSU rRNA". It matches the Rfam family "Bacterial small subunit ribosomal RNA", at positions 450 to 1347 of the family's 1533-position model. The record is from RNAcentral.
GGGGGUGGUAAGGGGUGCUAUAUAGGCGAUUGAUUUAGCGGCCCCGAAUUCGCCUUGUGCCAGCAGCCGCGGUAAUACGGAGGGGGCUAGCGUUGUUCGGAAUUACUGGGCGUAAAGCGCACAGUAGGCGGCUUUGUAAGUUAGAGGUGAAAGCCUGGAGCUUAACUCCAGAACUGCCUUUAAGACUGCAUCGCUUGAAUCCGGGAGAGGUGAGUGGAAUUCCGAGUGUAGAGGUGAAAUUCGUAGAUAUUCGGAAGAACACCAGUGGCGAAGGCGGCUCACUGGACCGGUAUUGACGCUGAGGUGCGAAAGCGGGGGGAGCAAACAGGAUUAGAUACCCUGGUAGUCCACGCCGUAAACGAUGAUAACUAGCUGUCCGGGGACUUGGUCUUUGGGUGGCGCAGAUAACGCAUUAAGUUAUCCGCCUGGGGAGUACGGCCCGCAAGGUUAAAACUCAAAUGAAUGACGGGGGCCUGCACAAGCGGGGGAGCAUGUGGUUUAAUUCGAAGCAACGGGCAGAACCUUUACCAGCGGUUUGACAUGUCCGGACGACUGGCAGAGAUGCCUUUUCGUCCCCUUCGGGAACUGGAACAACAGGUGCUGCAUGGCUUGUCGUCAAGCUCGGGUCGGGGAAAUGUGGUUAAGUCCACGCAACGAGCGACAACCCUCGACAUUUAGGUAACAAUCAUUGAGGUGGGAACCUCAAAGGAACCGCCGGGAGAUAAGCAGGAAGAAGGGAGGAUGACGUCAAGUCCUCAUGGCCCAUAACGGCGGGCUACAACAAGACUACAAUGCAGAGCAAGUGCACCAAUCCAGCAGGUGAGACUAUCUCGAAAGCAGUUGCAGGUCGAUGUACUCUGCCAGUCGAGACGAUGAGCGGUAUCCGAUGUCAUCGCAG